AGUGAACGCUGGCGGUAGGCCUAACACAUGCAAGUCGAACGGCAACACAGUAAGAGCUUGCUCUUACGGGUGGCGAGUGGCGGACGGGUGAGGAAUACAUCGGAAUCUACUUUUUCGUGGGGGAUAACGUAGGGAAACUUACGCUAAUACCGCAUACGACCUACGGGUGAAAGCAGGGGAUCUUCGGACCUUGCGCGAUUGAAUGAGCCGAUGUCGGAUUAGCUAGUUGGCGGGGUAAAGGCCCACCAAGGCGACGAUCCGUAGCUGGUCUGAGAGGAUGAUCAGCCACACUGGAACUGAGACACGGUCCAGACUCCUACGUGAGGCAGCAGUGGGGAAUAUUGGACAAUGGGCGCAAGCCUGAUCCAGCCAUACCGCGUGGGUGAAGAAGGCCUUCGGGUUGUAAAGCCCUUUUGUUGGGAAAGAAAAGCAGCAGGUUAAUACCCCGCUGUUCUGACGGUACCCAAAGAAUAAGCACCGGCUAACUUCGUG
This 492-nucleotide ribosomal RNA is filed under the name uncultured bacterium. RNAcentral's name for it is "partial 16S ribosomal RNA". It matches the Rfam family "Bacterial small subunit ribosomal RNA", at positions 29 to 507 of the family's 1533-position model. The record is from RNAcentral.